Non-coding RNA from Monodelphis domestica (gray short-tailed opossum), 7869 nucleotides. The record is from RefSeq and is a predicted model, not a curated record. Lineage: Eukaryota; Metazoa; Chordata; Mammalia; Didelphimorphia; Didelphidae.
CUUCUUUCCCCAGUUUUAGCCUCUAUACUCAAGAGUCUCCAAUAAUCCUUCCUUUUUUCUCUGUGCCCCUCCCAUCUCCGGCCUUGCCCUGGCCUGCUCCCGCCCCUACCAUAGGCACGCCCUUCAGAGUUUUAUACACGCCUUUGGGAUGAGGGAGAAUUCGUACUGACCUUGGAACUACACUGGAUCCCGUCUCAAAAAGGCAAAGAAGACUUAACUCUUGCUGAAUUUAAGGGUCAGGCCAGCCCCACCCUGAAGGAACUACAGGACUCAUGAAACAGUCCAUGAUUAGGAUCUAGAGAAGGAACCGUAAAUAUCAGAUGUAAAAAGAUCAACACCAAAGGCAAGUCCCAAACGUUUAGGAUGGUUUCCCCAAGCGAUAAAUGACUAAAGGUUAUGAACCGGCAGUUUUCAAGGGGAGCAAUCCAAUCUGAAUCACUUAAGAGCAGCUGUUCUCAAGUGUUUGGUCUGGGAGGUCUUUUCACUGGUAAAUUAUCGAGAACUCCAAAGAAAUUUUUUUUUAUAUAUGACUUAUAUUUACGGACAAACUGAUAAAUUUCAUCAGUUUUAAAGCAUUCCCUCUCCUAUCCCCAAUUUAUCCUGGAUAUUGCUUUUUUUGCAUACAGUAUUUGUUUUUGUUGACUCCCUCAUUAUUUUGUGAACUUGAAAAUAGGGACUACUGCCUUUUGCCUCUAUAUUCCCAACGUGUAGGGCGGUGUUUGGCCCCUAGGAGAAUCUUGACAAAUGUUUAUUUAUUAUUAAUAAAUUUAAAAAUAAUAAAUCCGUCACAUUUUAACACAAAUAACAUUUUUAUGAAAAAUUUUUUUUUUCCAUAAUAGAAAAGUUUAGGGAGAAGAGUAACAUCAUUUUAUAUUUUUACAAAUCUCUUUUAAUGUGAUAAAUAGAACCCAGUUGAACUCUCAUAUGAUUCUAAAUUCAAUCUGUUGCAAUAUUGUUUUGAUUGAAGUACCUGAAGAUCUGGCCUCAUAGUUGGAAAAGGAAUGACUAGUUAAAUAACUUUAAUAACUGUGGAUAGUCUUGUGCUGAAGGCAUCCUGUCUUAACCACCGAAACCUUCACAGAGGAGCUUGCCUUCCCCAAGACCAAGAAUCUUCCACAAUUCACUUUAACCCCUUUCCUGCCACAAAGAAUUGCCUAAUCUCCUGGGGUAACUCUUUCUGAGACUGAACUCCCUAUGGACAUAGAUAAUCUACCUUUUACCCGCACCCCAUCCCAGUGAUUCUGAACCUUCCUUUGCCAUUGUUCAGACCUCAUUCUUCAUCUGCCACUGACCAGUCCCUUAUUCUCCUCUCUCCUUCAAAGCAGCACCCCAUCACCCCAACCACCCAUUCAUUCACUGUACUCUAUGGAAUAUCUGUUUCUUCUUUCAAGAAGAUUUCCUUCUAAACUUUUACCUCUUUUGCUCAAAAUAAUUUGCAUUCAAAGAAUUCUGGCACACUCCGGAUAGAGCUGCCCUAGCUAUCAUUUCUAGCACUGGGUUGCACCUUCACUUAGACUUACUGGUUGUGGUGGGAUAAUUGGAUUACUCCUUGUUCCCUGUUGAUACCUUCAAAUUCUUUUACCAUCAUCACUCAAUAACCUUUUCCUCCUUUCAGAUUCAUUCAAUCCAUAUUUCUUAGCCAAUUAAAAAUUCUGUUAGCUGUGGUUUAUAGACCUCUAGAACACUCCUUCCUCUUCCUGUCUCACAGUCUUUCUCUGGAACUCCUGCUCUCAUACAAGUCAGAUCCAGGAUACAUAUUUAUUAUAUUCCCUCAAACACCAUGAUCCCCCAAUUCCUCAAUUUACUCAUUUCUCAUGACGAAUUCCUCUACUACACAUAAGAGUUAUCCUCAGAGAUAGUAAUACUUUUGAUCUUGCCAUAAUCCAAAAAUUAAAUCUGAAAUCCCCUCAUCUGACCAUCAUUUAUUGGUUUUCCAACUUUCCCUCAAUCUUCCUUCACCAAACCCUAUUCUUCCACAUCCUGACCUUAAAUCCUUUGAUCCUCACUUCUCUCCCAGGUCAUCAGCCUUAAACUAGCCACUCUUUGUCUUUUCUCCAAAUUGACCAGUUCAACUAUUAAAUCUUAACUAUUAACCCCUUAACUGCCAAUUGUGCCCUGCCAAGUCUCAGCCUUAAAUAAAUCUCACUGUCUUGCCGGUUUCUCUCCAACAUAGUGGCUGUUUUUUUAAGGUAGUAAAAAUAGUACAUCUAUUCUUACUGGAUCCACUAAAAAUUUCUGUCACACAUUAGGCCUUUAUUGCUGCAGGACAAUCCUACUGUACUUCUCAUCAAUUUACUAUUCUAUUUUCCACAAGAAGUCAUACAAACUUUAUCCUCCUCAUGGCUCCCCCUCCUCACACUCUCAGAUAAGAAUCUUGCUACAUAUAUUAUAGGAAAAAAAUUUAGGCCAUUUGCUAUGAGCUUGCUCUUUUCUCCUCUUCUUUACAUCAAACCUCCUGCCACAAUCUCCUGGGUCAUCCCUAAUUCACAUGAGAAGUGAUCUUAUGCUACCCACAUAAGUGGUCCUAUUACAUUCCAUCUCCUCAAACAGACUGUUACCUCUGUCAUCUCUGCUUUAUCAUUUAUUUUCCGUCUCUAUCAGUCUAUUGGUUUCUUUGCUUAAAUGCCCCCCCAAACCUCAAAAAACCCUCACUGGAACCUUUCAUUCCCAGUAUCAUCCCAUAUCUUUUCUACACUUGGUGGCUAAACUUCUUGAAAAAGCCAUCCACAAUAGCUACCUCUUAUUUCUCUCCUCUCACUCUCUUACUACCUUACUCUCUAGCUUCUAGACCUCAUAAUUCUGCUGAAACUAAAAGUUACUGAAGAUCUCUCAACUGGCAUAUCCAAUGGCCUUUUCUCAAACCUCAUUCUCGUCAACCUCUCUGUACCCUUUGAAACCUGUUGAUCAUGUUCUUCUUGAUACUUUCUUUUCUCUAUGUUUUUAGGAAUCCAUUAUCUCUUGGUUCUCUUCCCAACUGUCAGACUGAUCCUUCUUAAUGUUCUUUGCUGGAUACCCUCUAAUGUGAAUUUUAAAAGUACUCCACCCUACUCAGACCUUACUUUAGAAGAUCUGAUUUAGCUACCUCCUGAUUAGUAACACUGGAGAUACUUGGUUUAACAGAAUCAAGCCUUGGGAACUCUAUAUUUCUCCACACUACUUAGUUUAACAAGGUCAGGAAUGUCUGCACCAUACUCAAGGAUUAAGUAUUUGAGAAAAUGCCCUUCAACAUAUAUGUGCAGAAACAGCAGACAUAACCCUGGGCUGUCCUAAGUCAAGCUAAGCUAACAUUGGUACAAAUGAGAUGCAGGAAAGUGAUGUAAAACUGUCUAUAUAGGGCAAAUCACUUGCUCUCUUUUGGCUCUUUUCCCAGAGAGGUGUCUCUGGCUGGUAGCAUGCUAAGCGUUCCAACUUCUUGGUGUGGUGGCAGCUAUUUGUCUGGAUUUGGGCGGUGAGUUUGCCCUUGAGCUAAUUCAGGUUCAGGCAUCUUGGCUGAGACCUCUUGGAGUUCAGGCUGAUUCCUUCCUCUUUUUCUCUCCAAAACCUUAACUUCUAGAGCCUCUAAUCUUCCUGCCCGGCACAAGCCAGGCAGGAGAAAAUUCAUGCCCUUUUCCUUCUCCCUUCUUAAAUUUCUUUCCACUAUAUUAAUUGAAUAACCAUAAAUUUCCAGACUGACUUGGGUAUUUUUUUUUGUUAUUUGGGAUCUCCAUUGUGGCCAAUAAUUAAUUUACUUUAGGUCACAAUGCUAAAAUUAUCCUUUACACUAAGAACUAGAUAAAUAGAACCACCAGACAAGAAAGAAGUUAAGGAAAUGAAUAGAAUUUUAGAAAGUUAGAAAUAGGACUGUAGAGAAAAUUUGAUGGGAAUAGAAAGGGUGUGCCUUAUUCUCAGCUAUAAAUGGAACUCUCACAAAAAAUGUAUUAGGCCAUGAAAACCUUACAAACAAAUGCAGAAAAGCAGAAAUAGUAAAUACAUACUUUUUGGACAAUAAUACAGUAAAAAUGUCAUUCAAAAAUGGGCCUUAGAAACAUAGAUUAAAAAUUAAUUGGAAACUAAUCUAAUCCUAAAAAAUGACUGGGGUCAAAGAACAAAUGAUGAUAACAUUCAAUAAAUCCAUUAAAAAUAACUGCAACCAUAAAACAUUUUGGAGGAUGUGGCCAAAGCAAUAUUUGGGAGAAAAUUCAUAUUUUUAAAUGCUUAUAUCAGUAAAAGAGAGAAAGAAAAGAUCAGUAAAUUGACUAUGCAACUAAUAAAAAAGAAAGAAAAAGAAAAAAUUUUAAUCCCUAAUUAAGCAUUAAAAUAAUAUUACUCAAAACCAAAAAGAGAAAACUAAAAUAACAUUGAAAGUAAAAAAAAUGAAUCAAUAAAAAUAAAAAUGAUUUUAAGUGUUUUUUUUAAUUUUUAAAAAGAAAGAAGGAAUUACCAGAGGAAAAAGUGUCAAAAAAUGAAAAGGGUAAAUCAAGAUGAAAUUAAAGAAAUCAUUAGAAGUUAUUUUGCCUAUACUAUGCCAAUAAAAAUGACGAUCUAAAUGAAAUGGAUGAGUAUAAAGUGUCCAGAUUAAAAGAGGAAGAAAUGGAAUCUUUAUAUGACCCUAUUUUAGAAAAAAAAAAUUGAACAAGCCAUAAAUGAGAUCUCUAAGAAAAAAUCUUCAGAUCCAAAUAUAUUUACAAGUAUUUUCUACUAAACAUUUAAAAAACAAUUCCAAUACAAUAUAAACUAUUUGAAAAAAUACUUCAAGGUGGAAUUCUAACAAUUUUUUCUAUGACACAAAUAGGAUUUUGGUAUAUAAACCAGGGAGAGCAAAAGAAGAGAGAAAAAACUUUAAAAUUGAAGGGGUGGAUCCAAGAUAGAGGAAAAACAAGAGCAACAGCACCAUUUCAUCAUGAAAAUCCUCACUAAGAUUAAAAUAUUGCCACAAAACAAAUCCAGGAGUGAAAGAACCAAUAAGGGGACAGAGGGAAACAACCUUCAAGAAAAGAAAAACACAAAAGGUAGGCAGAGACUAUCUGGGGAACUAAGGUGAAAGUGGAGCAGAGCUUACAGGAGGCUAUUGCAGGGAGUGACAAACUAUCCAGGAGAAAACCACAAUUCCCAACCCUCACCCCACCCUCACUCCACAUCUGCUGUCACAGGUUCAGAAAUGGAUCUCUAGCUAACAAUCAGACCCCGAUAUACUGCCUGGGCAAAUAGUAGUGCAAGCCAACCCAUAAUCCUUAAAAUUCCAAACCUGUGAAGAAUUCCAGAGUCCCAGACCAGAGCAAGCUGAGGUGAAGGGGGCUAAUCAAUGUGGUUCCAGAGCAAAGCCAGGAAUCCCAGUCUGGGCUUGGGAUAAGGACAUAAUGUAUGGUCUCAGGUGAGGACACAGUUCUCAGGGGGAGCCUCCCUAGAACUUUUUGCCCAAAACUAAAGAUGGGGCUCCAGGAGAGGUCAAUGAAGGACUUGCCUGAAUGAAUCAAGAACACCUGGAAACCAAAAUCUUGAACCUAAGGCUGGGGCUAGAAUUUGAUCAGUCCUUGAUCUGAUCAAGAUCAGAAUGAGAUCAAAAGCUUAUACCUAAGCCUGAGAAAAGCCUUUAAGCUAUCAGUAUCACAAGGAUCAAUUGAAUCAGCAGGGGGAGAGGGCUCUCAGACCUCUCAGCCCUCAGACAAUCACAUCAUCCCCCUCUACCCCCAAGCCUACCUAUAAUUAGAUAGGAAAAAUGAGCAAACAACAAAAAUAUCAGCCCACUCUAAAUAAUUUUUUAAUUUUUUUUAAAAACCCUUACCUUCUGACUUGGAGUCAAUACUGCAUAUUGGCAGAAGAGUGGUAAGGGCUAGGCAAUGGGGGUCAAGUGACUUGCCCAGGGUCACACAGCUGGGAAGUGCCUGAGGCCAGAUUUGAACCUAGGAUGUCCUGUCUCUAGGCCUGGCUCUCAAUCCACUGAGCUACCCAGCUGCCCCUAUCUAAAGAAUUUUUAUGGAGACAAAGAGCAAGGUAUUGACACAGAAGGGGCCAGUGAAAACAAAGGAAACACAUAGAGUCCAAAAGAAAAAUAUGAAUUAGAUACAGAUUCUGGAAGAACUAAAAAAAGACUUCAAAAACCAAUUAAGAGAGGAAGAGGAAAAGUGGGAAAGAGAAAUGAAAGUGAUUCAAGAAGAAAUGGGCCAAUUGAAAAAGGAGAACCAAAAACCAAUAGAGGAAAAUCAGGCUUUAAAAAUCAGAAUUGGCCAUCUAGAAACUAAUGAUUUCAUGAGAAAUCAAGAAACAAUAAAGCAGAAUCAAAGGAAUGAAAAAAUAGAGGAAAACAUGAAAUAGCUUAUUGCAAAAAUAACUCACCUAGAAAAUAGAUCUAGGAGAGAGAGUUUGAGAAUUAUUGGACUACCUGAAAGCCAUGAUCAAGAAAAAACCUUGGAUAUCAUCUUAAAAGAAAUUAUCAAAGAUAACUUCCCAGAGAUCCUUGAACAAGAAAAUAAAAUUGAAAGAAUUCACAGAUCAUCUGCAGAAAGAAAUCCUCAAAUGACAACUUUCUUGAAUGUAAUACCUAAAUUCAAGAGUCACCAAGCCAAGGAAAAACUACUUCAAACAGCCAGAAAGAAACCAUUUGUAAUUAGAAUUUUGGUCCCCAGGACUCUGAAUCCCAGCUUUCCAUGCUCCUUCUCACAUUAUGUGCUAAUGUAGGGAAGAUAUAUUUUGAGUGUAGCUCCAUCCUUUUGCUCUCUUUUCCCAGGAAUGCCAUUUGUGGAGGUUAGGGUGAGAGACAGGCAGGAGAAGUUUACUCAUUUCGUCAUUUUUAAGUUUUGUACUUUGUUCUUUUAUUUCUUCUACUUCAAAUGAUUACUAAUAAAUCUUAUAAAAUAUAUUACUUGGAGUUAUUGGGUAUUAAUUUGAAUCUAACACAUUCAUAUAUCAUGGAGCUAUAAUCAGGAUCACACAGGAUCUAGCUGCUUCUACAUGUAAAGAUCAAAAGGCAUCAAAUAUGGUGUUCAGGAAGGCAAAGAUUUGGGCUUACAAAAAAAAAUUCAAAAUCCAAAUAUGAGACACAAGCAAAACCUAUAAAAGAUAAAUAUGAAAGAGAAUAUUUAAGGGACUCAUUAAGGUAAAAAUAUUUAUGUCUACAUGAAAAGAUGAUUUCUGUAAUUCCCAAAAAUUACUCUUAUUAGUAGAGAAGAUAAAAGGUAUUUACUCAGAAAGAGGGUGUAGAAGUAAGCUGAUUAUGAUGAUAUGAUGUGUAUGUAAAUUUGAUGAUAUGGAACCAUAUGUUUAUAUGAUAUGAAAUGUAUGCAUAUGAAUGAUAUGUAAAAAAAUCAAUCAAGGGCUGAAAGAGAGGGUUGCACUGAGAGAAAAGGGAAGGGAGAGACAAAAUGGGGUAAAUUAUAUAACAAAGAGGCAUGAAUAAGAAUUGGUGAUGGGCAAUGCUUAAAUUUUACUCUCAUUGUAACUGGCUCAGAGAGGGAAAACAAGUAUACUCAGUGGGAAAUAGAAGAAUAUGGCAAGGGAAGCACCCUCUGUGGUAAUUGAAGGGAGGGUGAGGUGGAGGGGGUGUGACAAAAAGCAAAAUGCUGAUGAGGAAGACCAGAGUGAAAGGGAAUAGAGCAGGAUCUAAAGGGAAUAAUAUUAUGGAUGGCAAUAAACAAUUAGUAAUCAUAACACUGAGUGUGAAUGGAAUGAACUCACCGUUUAAAUGGAAGCAGGUAGCAGAGUGGAUUAAAAACCAGAAUCCUACUAUAUGUUGUUUACAAGAAACACAUUUGAGGCAUGGUGACACAUAGAUAUUCAAGGUCAAAGGCUGGAGCAGAAUAUAUUAUGCAUCAUCUAAAGUUAAAAAAAAAAAAGCAGGAAUUGCAAUCAUGAUGCCAGACAAAACCAAAGUAGAAAUUGAUCUAGAUUAAAAGA